UAGGGAAUCUUCGGCAAUGGACGAAAGUCUGACCGAGCAACGCCGCGUGAGUGAAGAAGGUUUUCGGAUCGUAAAACUCUGUUGUUAGAGAAGAACAAGGACGUUAGUAACUGAACGUCCCCUGACGGUAUCUAACCAGAAAGCCACGGCUAACUACGUGCCAGCAGCCGCGGUAAUACGUAGGUGGCAAGCGUUGUCCGGAUUUAUUGGGCGUAAAGCGAGCGCAGGCGGUUUCUUAAGUCUGAUGUGAAAGCCCCCGGCUCAACCGGGGAGGGUCAUUGGAAACUGGGAGACUUGAGUGCAGAAGAGGAGAGUGGAGUUCCAUGUGUAGCGGUGAAAUGCGUAGAUAUAUGGAGGAACACCAGUGGCGAAGGCGGCUCUCUGGUCUGUAACUGACGAUGAGGCUCGAAAGCGUGGGGAGCAAACAGG
RNAcentral lists this ribosomal RNA (429 nucleotides) under Gemmatimonadota bacterium. RNAcentral describes it as "Gemmatimonadetes bacterium partial 16S ribosomal RNA". It matches the Rfam family "Bacterial small subunit ribosomal RNA", at positions 355 to 776 of the family's 1533-position model. The record is from RNAcentral. Lineage: Bacteria; Pseudomonadati; Gemmatimonadota.